AACGAACGCUGGCGGCGCGCCUAAUACAUGCAAGUCGAGCGAGAAGACGUAGCAAUACGUUUGUAAAGCGGCGAACGGGUGAGGAAUACAUGGGUAACCUACCCUCGAGUGGGGAAUAACUAGCCGAAAGGUUAGCUAAUACCGCGUACGCUCCUUGGACUUCGGUUCAGGGAGGAAAGCGAUACCGUGGGUAUCGCGCUCUUGGAUGGGCUCAUGUCCUAUCAGCUUGUUGGUGGGGUGAUGGCCUACCAAGGCGACGACGGGUAGCCGGCCUGAGAGGGCGACCGGCCACACUGGGACUGAGACACGGCCCAGACUCCUACGGGAGGCAGCAGUGGGGAAUCUUGCGCAAUGGGCGAAAGCCUGACGCAGCGACGCCGCGUGAGGGAUGACGGCCU
RNAcentral lists this ribosomal RNA (398 nucleotides) under uncultured bacterium. RNAcentral's name for it is "bacterial SSU rRNA". It matches the Rfam family "Bacterial small subunit ribosomal RNA", at positions 29 to 417 of the family's 1533-position model. The record is from RNAcentral.